GGGCAAGCCAGCUUGAGGGAUGACUGAACACAUAUGAGGGAGCAAAGACAAGGCAGGGGAUCAAGCCAGAAGGAAUUGGCUGCAAAGGAGGGAUUGGCAUUGACAUUAAUGGGAAGGAGAUAUUGCCAUGGUUUGCCAAAAAUGAGACAGAACAUUUUCUUUCCCCCUGAGGGAUAUGCGUUGGAAACAGGCAAAAGGAGUGAAAAUGGAAGGUGGCUCUUCUCCAGACAUCCAGAGAGAACAUUCUGCCUCAGCUGUGCCUCUCCUCUUUCCAUCCUUCCUAUGAAUUUUAUUUGCUUGCCCAUUGGAGAAAAGGAAUAG
RNAcentral lists this long non-coding RNA (321 nucleotides) under Cyanistes caeruleus (blue tit). Its description in RNAcentral is "lncRNA (ENSCCEG00000023674.1)". Lineage: Eukaryota; Metazoa; Chordata; Aves; Passeriformes; Paridae. The record is from RNAcentral.